UAGCACAUGCUUGUUAACUAUAAAGUUUUGAGGUAUUACAAUGAAGAAAGGAAGAGAAAAAUGAUCCUGUAAUCUUACCACCCAGAGAUUUUUAACCACCGUUAAAACAUUUAGGAAAAAUUUCCUCUGGUAUUUUAUUUAAAAAAAAAAAAGAUUUAAAAAAAGUGUUUUGUUGACGCCAGAAGAAUUUCCAAUGCAUAGAACACCUGGAAGAGGCCUGCUGUUGGCAUCAGAGCCACAGUGCUCCAGCGCGUCUGAGGGCAGAGUGAGCUGGGUCAGGGAGGGUGUGGGCUGGGCCGUGGGUGGUCUGUUUAAGGACUGGGGAGGCUAAUUCAGUACUUGGCGCCUUGAGCCUAAAGGGUACAAAGAACUGUCUCACUGAGUUUUUCUUUCUUUCCAGCUCCUGAAGCCCAGAGAGAGACUGUGUUUGUGUGUGCCUCCUGUAAUCAGACCUUGAGCAAAUGAGAAGAGAAGCCAGGCUCCAGCUGCCCUGGGGCCAGCAGUAGACCCAACUGCCCCAACUUUGGUCCUCUGAGGCCUGUGCUGGACAGAUGUAGCCUGACAGCUAGGCCCUUCCUGCUCUUUCCCUGCUGCCUCCAGCUGGGCUGGUGACACUCUAAGGCCCAGGGGGAGAGGAGCCUCUGGGGUCCUGGCUGUUGGUCCUGUUCUACCCUGUACCCUCUUAACUCAAGGCCAGCCAGGGAGUGUCCACCAGAGGGCAGAAGUGAGCACAGCCUGCUCUCAUCUGGGCUCUGGUGGUCAAAGCCAGACUGGCUAGGCCUUGGGAUCCAAGGAGACCGGAGGUUGGAAAAAGAGGUUCUUCCCCAUUGGGUACUGGGCAGUCUCAGCCCCAGAGCCUGCAAGGGGACUUAGAGCAGCAUGGCCUGACUCUGCCCUUUGAAUAGCCCCAGGACAUGUUGGUUUUUAGAGACAGGAUUGGAGUUACCAGGUGCCCCGAGGAGAGGGAAUGUGAGGGUGCUGGUCAAGUCCUUCAGUGUCACGUGGAUGGAUGGCAGUGUGGGGGAGCUCUACCUACAGAAUCUUAGCUCCCAUGAUUCUCUGGUGCCCUCAGCCCUGCUCGGGUGGCUACAGGGCCCUCACAUGAUUCCUACUUCCUGUUCUGAGUCUGGGGCACCCCACCUUUCUCCACUGCCACAUCUCUCUAGCCCUUAUCUCAUGGAACAUGAGGCCAGGCGAGUGGAGCAGAGAGUCUGGAAGCCUUUGAGGUUGGGGGAAGUAUGGAUCGCCUGGAUUUCAGGGCUGUUCCUAGAGAGGAGUUUACAUCGUAGGAUAGGGCACAUGGCCAGUUUUAUGUUCCCUCUUCUCUGCCAAGGGGGCGCUGCACCUCUUCUUAAGCCAUGAGCUGGCUCAGGCCCCUCCCCCAGAGCUUUUUCAGAGUAUUUAUUUAUUUAUUUCAUGGUUCCUGGGAGCAUGCAGCACAGGGUGGGAUGAAAACGAUGAGGGGCUUCUGCCUGCGACCCUUCUGUAGCCAUGGACCGCCCUUGGGGCAGAUCUUCAGGAACUUGCAUCAGUAGCAGCGGAGCUGUUUCUACCCAAGCAUGGACUUGGCGCGCACACUUGAGCCGCAUGAGUGACUCUCUGCUGAUGGGCCCCACACAGAACAGUGAGGGUUUGGCAGUGGGGACCAAGCAGGUGAGGUGUACCCCUUUGUCCUGGUGAGAGAAGGUCACCUCUGUGUAUUUAUACUGUAGAGCUGUAGAAAGGAACUCUGUGGAGAAUUGUCAAUAAAAGGCCCCACGCUUA
RNAcentral lists this long non-coding RNA (1764 nucleotides) under Rattus norvegicus (Norway rat). RNAcentral's name for it is "long non-coding RNA NONRATT001742". Lineage: Eukaryota; Metazoa; Chordata; Mammalia; Rodentia; Muridae. The record is from RNAcentral.